RNAcentral lists this long non-coding RNA (209 nucleotides) under Salvia miltiorrhiza (redroot sage). RNAcentral's name for it is "long non-coding RNA (SMIL_LNC009902)". Lineage: Eukaryota; Viridiplantae; Streptophyta; Magnoliopsida; Lamiales; Lamiaceae. The record is from RNAcentral.
ACACAGACAAGGAACCUCGAAGAUUGAAGCCUCAGCCCAAAUUUGAAUUGCUCUCCAACGGAAGAAAUCUUGAUGACGAUUUACGCCAACGGAUCUAUUCAAGAGUUCUCCUACAAAUAGCGCUCGAGGAUCACUUCAAUCUUCACCGAUUCAACGACAUAAGCUGAAGCUCUGUCGAAAUUGCUACUCAGCCUAAAGCUUAACCGCCC